UACAGAAAUCCCGCAUAGUGCGUAUGACUACUCCCAUGUUAGAGAACUCCCGUAAAGUGUUUCCUACACUCAGGGAUGCAGAACUCCUGUAACUGCCUCUCACUACUUCCAAUGUACAGAAAUCCUGUAAGCUGCUUCUCUUUUACUCAGACUACUGAAAACCCGCAUAGUGCGUAAGACUACUCCCAUGCUACAGAACUCCCGUAAAGUGUUUCCUACACUCAGGAUGCAGAACUCCAGUAAACUACUUCGCUCUACAUCCAGCUUACAGAAAUCUUGUAAGGUGCAUCUCCUACACACAGCCUACAGAAAUCCCGCAUACUGAGUAUGGCUAGAGCCAUGUUACAGACUCCCAUAGACUGUCUCCUACACUCAAGAUGCAGAGUUCCAGUAAAUUGCUUCUCUCUACAUCCAGCUUACAGAACGCAUGUAAGCAGCAUGUCCUAAACACAGGGUACAGAAAACUCGCAUAGUGCAUACGGCUGCUCCCAUGCUACUGAACUCCCGUAAAUUGUUUCCUACACUCAGGAUGCAGAACUCCUGUAAACUGCCUCUCAUUACUUCCAAUGUACAGAAAUCCUGUAAGCUGCUUUUCUUUUACUCAGACUACUGAAAACCCGCAUAGUGCGUAAGACUACUCCCAUGUUACAGAACUCCCGAAAAGUGUUUCCUACACUCAGGAUGCAGAACUCCUGUAAACUGCCUCUCACUACUUCCAAUGUACAGAAAUCCUGUAAGCUGCUUCUCUUUUACUCAGACUACUGAAAACCCGCAUAGUGCGUAAGACUACUCCCAUGCUACAGAACUCCCGUAAAGUGUUUCCUACACUCAGGAUGCAGAACUCCUGUAAACUGCCUCUCACUACUUCCAAUGUACAGAAAUCCUGUAAGCUGCUUCUCUUUUACUCAGACUACUGAAAACCCGCAUAGUGCCGUAAGACUACUCCCAUGCUACAGAACUCCCGUAAAGUGUUUCCUACACUCAGGAUGCAGAACUCCUGUAAACUGCCUCUCACUACUUCCAAUGUACAGAAAUCCUGUAAGCUGCUUCUCUUUUACUCAGACUACUGAAAACCCCGCAGAGUGCGUAAGACUACUCUCAUGCUACAGAACUCGCGAAAAGUGUUUCCUACUCUCAGGGAUGCAGAACUUCUGUAAACUGCCUCUCAUUACUUCCAGUGUACAGAAAAUCCUGUGA
RNAcentral lists this long non-coding RNA (1197 nucleotides) under Oryctolagus cuniculus (rabbit). RNAcentral describes it as "lncRNA (ENSOCUG00000037093.1)". The record is from RNAcentral. Lineage: Eukaryota; Metazoa; Chordata; Mammalia; Lagomorpha; Leporidae.